UUAGAUUUAAAGUCCACUUCUUAAUAAAAACACACAAGUUAGCACCUGUGUGAUCUCCUAAAAACUUAACCAUUCGGAAACUUCUUCAUUUCUUAUAAGCCAGUUUUAUGAAAUUGAGUUAGAUUUAAAGUCCACUUCUUAAUAAAAACACACAAGUUAACACCUGUGUGAUCUCCUAAAAACUUAACCAUUCCUUACUAGGAAACCUCUUCAUUUUCUUCUCCUUAGGAAAAGCAUGCCAAUCUUCAAUGACUUUUUAGUUCACUUUUAAUCUCCAUAUUUUAUGACUUUAUCCAGCCACCACAGAAUACUUAUCAUCUCAUUUUAUUCCUUAUGCAAG
This 340-nucleotide long non-coding RNA is filed under the name Phaseolus vulgaris (common bean). RNAcentral's name for it is "long non-coding RNA (PVUL_LNC003769)". Lineage: Eukaryota; Viridiplantae; Streptophyta; Magnoliopsida; Fabales; Fabaceae. The record is from RNAcentral.